Molecule: ribosomal RNA, 558 nt
Filed under: Colletotrichum gloeosporioides
Lineage: Eukaryota; Fungi; Ascomycota; Sordariomycetes; Glomerellales; Glomerellaceae
Description: eukaryotic LSU rRNA
Rfam family: 5.8S ribosomal RNA (bases 229-382)
Source: RNAcentral
UGGAAGUAAAAAAUCGUAACAAGGUCUCCGUUGGUGAACCAGCGGAGGGAUCAUUACUGAGUUUACGCUCUACAACCCUUUGUGAACAUACCUAUAACUGUUGCUUCGGCGGGUAGGGUCUCCGUGACCCUCCCGGCCUCCCGCCCCCGGGCGGGUCGGCGCCCGCCGGAGGAUAACCAAACUCUGAUUUAACGACGUUUCUUCUGAGUGGUACAAGCAAAUAAUCAAAACUUUUAACAACGGAUCUCUUGGUUCUGGCAUCGAUGAAGAACGCAGCGAAAUGCGAUAAGUAAUGUGAAUUGCAGAAUUCAGUGAAUCAUCGAAUCUUUGAACGCACAUUGCGCCCGCCAGCAUUCUGGCGGGCAUGCCUGUUCGAGCGUCAUUUCAACCCUCAAGCUCUGCUUGGUGUUGGGGCCCUACGGCUGACGUAGGCCCUCAAAGGUAGUGGCGGACCCUCCCGGAGCCUCCUUUGCGUAGUAACUUUACGUCUCGCACUGGGAUCCGGAGGGACUCUUGCCGUAAAACCCCCAAUUUUCCAAAGGUGACCUCGAUCAGUAG